This 1425-nucleotide unclassified non-coding RNA is filed under the name Hevea brasiliensis (rubber tree). The record is from RNAcentral. Lineage: Eukaryota; Viridiplantae; Streptophyta; Magnoliopsida; Malpighiales; Euphorbiaceae.
AAAGGCUUAGUUGAGUUGAGUUAUUUACAUUUCAUUUUUUGUAAUUUCAGUUCCAAUUUUUCGACUCGAUUGGGUUCUGGGGCUGGGUUUGACUUGGCUAUUAGAUUUCUAUAAGUGUCUGAUUUUAUUUCAUCAAUGCACACGCGCUUGUAAUUUCUUUGUUCUUGUUCUUUUUAUUUCUCUGUUGCACUCUGAUAAUAAGGUACAGUCAUCACACACUUACGGGACGCCUGCCUUGCUGCCAGUUGUUUCAUCUACUGACAAUUUUCGUAUAUAGAAAUCUUGGUUUGGUCCUGUUGUCAAUUGAGUCAAAAAGUUAAUCCUUUUGUUAAUUGGCUAUUACUGAAGUAGAUUAACUAGAUUACAAAUUCUGUUGUAACUUAAAGUGUAGCUGAUAUAAGUAGCAAUCACGUGUAGAAGGAGAAGUAUUGAUCAAAUAACAGAAUUGGAAUUCUCCACAAAUUCCUCUUGUUUCUAUUUUCUCUUCUCGGUUUCUUUUUCCUUUCUCUCUUUCCAUCUCUCUCUCUCACUUUCCCUCUGCUUCCUACUACCCAAAUACACCUUUUUUGUGACCAGGUCACAACCCUUUUAUGCUUUUAGUAGAUUCCAAGCGACCCGUUCCCUUGCUCACUCGGGGUAAUAAUGGAACUUUAGAUUGUGGCUUUAUGAUUCACGUAUUCAAAAUUUGCCGUACUGAGACUUUGUGGGAUCUUAAUUCUGUGGCGUCUGACUAACAAAGCAUUUAGUGCUAGGAGGCGACAGAGUGUUAUUAUGUGGCGAGGACAUUGUCUUAACAUGCCAAUUGCCAAAUAACUUGUUAUGAUGACAAACAUUAAGCUGCAGAAUGAUUUUUCAAGGUGAUCUUGUGUUAUUAAUAAAUGCAUCUAUGUUGGGUAUAUUUGUGAAGCUUUUUUGGCCUUGAAGGAAAAGUUACUAGGAUAUAGACAUAUAGUGCUGUUUAAUUUAUCUGCAGUGAUGAAAAAACUUUUGAAGAUAUCAUAUUCAGAUGUUGAGAUGGUUGCCAAAUUUCUUCUGACAUAUACUCUUCCAUGAAGUGAAUUCACUGAUUAACAUCCCAUAGUCAAUAAAGGGUCUCUAGUACCAGGCAUGUUCUCACUUUGGCUAGCAUACAUUAUUGAAAAUUAUAUUAGGUAUUAUGGGUGUUUUGGACCCAAUGUUUACCCCUACUGGUGUAAAAAUUCACUAUACUAGCCAAAUUUUAAUGGAUUUUCGCACACUUCACUAUUUUGAGUUCAAUGACUAUAUGAUAUUAUGCAUCUCCUAGAAGCAGCCCAUAAUUGCUUGCUUGAAUUCUUUUUUUUGAAGUGAGAGUAGAUACUUUGUACUUGAACAUAUCGUCACAAAUUUUUAUGUGCAUAAUUUUGUUUUUGAGCUCCUUGCAGACUGUUAGGGGGAAAUGUUUUG